UCGUAGGAUCGUCGGGCGCGUCGGCGUCGGCGUCGGGCGCGUCGUCGCCGCCCGCGUCGCCGCCGCCCGCGCAUCAAGCGCCGCUGCGGGUCACGCUUACAGCGACGGGAGAGUUGAGGCGCACGCCUGAUAUUGACAGACUUAUCUCACUCGGAAGAGAACGCAACACCUCGGACGCCCGAGCAGUCGUUCUCAGACAACACGACGAGACCACGCACGUCAGGACGCGGGCCUCGUCGCGCCAGGAGACCGUCAGGAGAGACGAACAGACCGUCAGGAGAGACGAACAAAGCAUUAGGAGAGAGGAGCACAGCGCCAGGAGAGACGAGAGGAAGGAAGGCGCCACGCUAUACAAACGGGGGGAGCUCAUCUCGAGCGCUCAGUCCCCGCCCACAUGACAGAUUAUAUACGUGUUUUUAUACAUAAACGUCUAUUUAUCA
Molecule: long non-coding RNA, 440 nt
Organism: Ostrinia nubilalis (European corn borer)
Lineage: Eukaryota; Metazoa; Arthropoda; Insecta; Lepidoptera; Crambidae
Exons: 2
Source: RefSeq, a predicted model, not a curated record